AGCCUGCCCUGUACUCUGGGAUAAGCCUGGGAAACUAGGUCUAAUACCGGAUACGACCUGUCACCGCAUGGUGGUGGGUGGAAAGUUCCGGCGGUAUGGGAUGGACCCGCGGCCUAUCAGCUUGUUGGUGGGGUAAUGGCCUACCAAGGCGACGACGGGUAGCCGGCCUGAGAGGGUGACCGGCCACACUGGGACUGAGACACGGCCCAGACUCCUACGGGAGGCAGCAGUGGGGAAUAUUGCACAAUGGGCGAAAGCCUGAUGCAGCGACGCCGCGUGAGGGAUGACGGCCUUCGGGUUGUAAACCUCUUUCAGCAGGGACGAAGCGCAAGUGACGGUACCUGCAGAAGAAUCACCGUUUUUUCUACGUGCCAGCAGCCGCGGUAAUACGUAGGGUGCGAGCGUUGUCCGGAAUUAUUGGGCGUAAAGAGCUCGUAGGCGGUUUGUUGCGUCGGCUGUGAAAACUUCACGCUUAACGUGGAGCCUGCAGUCGAUACGGGCAGACUUGAGUUCGGCAGGGGAGACUGGAAUUCCUGGUGUAGCGGUGAAAUGCGCAGAUAUCAGGAGGAACACCGGUGGCGAAGGCGGGUCUCUGGGCCGAUACUGAC
Molecule: ribosomal RNA, 608 nt
Filed under: Saccharothrix longispora
Lineage: Bacteria; Bacillati; Actinomycetota; Actinomycetes; Pseudonocardiales; Pseudonocardiaceae
Description: bacterial SSU rRNA
Rfam family: Bacterial small subunit ribosomal RNA
Source: RNAcentral